RNAcentral lists this ribosomal RNA (446 nucleotides) under uncultured bacterium. RNAcentral's name for it is "partial 16S ribosomal RNA". It matches the Rfam family "Bacterial small subunit ribosomal RNA", at positions 338 to 795 of the family's 1533-position model. The record is from RNAcentral.
CCUACGGGAGGCAGCAGUAGGGAAUUUUCGGCAAUGGGGGGAACCCUGACCGAGCAACGCCGCGUGAACGAAGAAGUUAUUCGUAAUGUAAAGUUCUUUUAACAGGGAAGAAAGAGAAAUUUGACGGUACCUGAAGAAUAAGCUCCGGCCAACUACGUGCCAGCAGCCGCGGUAAUACGUAGGGAGCGAGCGUUAUCCGGAAUUAUUGGGCGUAAGGGGUGCGUAGAUGGCAUAGUAAGUCUUUGGUAAAAAUGCGGGGCUCAACCCAGUAGGGCAAAAGAUACUGCAAAGCUAGAGUAUGACAGAGGCAAGUGGAACUACAUGUGUAGCGGUAAAAUGCGUAAAUAUAUGUAAGAACACCAGUGGCGAAGGCGGCUUGCUGGGUCGAUACUGACAUUGAGGCACGAAAGCGUGGGGAGCAAACAGGAUUAGAUACCCCGGUAGUC